RNAcentral lists this ribosomal RNA (465 nucleotides) under Vreelandella stevensii. RNAcentral describes it as "partial 16S ribosomal RNA". It matches the Rfam family "Bacterial small subunit ribosomal RNA", at positions 338 to 795 of the family's 1533-position model. Lineage: Bacteria; Pseudomonadati; Pseudomonadota; Gammaproteobacteria; Oceanospirillales; Halomonadaceae. The record is from RNAcentral.
CCUACGGGUGGCAGCAGUGGGGAAUAUUGGACAAUGGGCGAAAGCCUGAUCCAGCCAUGCCGCGUGUGUGAAGAAGGCCUUCGGGUUGUAAAGCACUUUCAGUGGGGAAGAAAGCCUUGGGGCUAAUACCCUCGAGGAAGGACAUCACCCACAGAAGAAGCACCGGCUAACUCCGUGCCAGCAGCCGCGGUAAUACGGAGGGUGCGAGCGUUAAUCGGAAUUACUGGGCGUAAAGCGCGCGUAGGCGGUCUGAUAAGCCGGUUGUGAAAGCCCCGGGCUCAACCUGGGAACGGCAUCCGGAACUGUCAGGCUAGAGUGCAGGAGAGGAAGGUAGAAUUCCCGGUGUAGCGGUGAAAUGCGUAGAGAUCGGGAGGAAUACCAGUGGCGAAGGCGGCCAUCUGGACUGACACUGACGCUGAGGUGCGAAAGCGUGGGUAGCAAACAGGAUUAGAUACCCUUGUAGUC